RNAcentral lists this ribosomal RNA (438 nucleotides) under Blastocystis hominis. RNAcentral's name for it is "SSU rRNA". It matches the Rfam family "Eukaryotic small subunit ribosomal RNA", at positions 505 to 953 of the family's 1831-position model. The record is from RNAcentral. Lineage: Eukaryota; Bigyra; Opalinata; Blastocystidae.
GCAAUUGGAUUGAGAACAAUGUACAACUCUUAUCGAUAAGCCAUUGGAGGGCAAGUCUGGUGCCAGCAGCCGCGGUAAUUCCAGCUCCAAUAGCGUAUAUUAACGUUGUUGCAGUUAAAAAGCUCGUAGUUGAAGUGUGGGUGAUCGCUGUUGUGAGACUUCGGUCUCUCGACAGUAAGUCACCCCCUUCCAGUAUCCAGUAGUGGGUAUUCAGUUACUUACUAUUGUGUGUUGGUCCUUUACUGUGAGAAAAUUAGAGUGUUCAAAGCAGGCGUUUGCUUGAAUAGAUUAGCAUGGAAUAAUAAUUGAAGGCUUUCGUGUUCGAUUUGAUUGGUUUGUUCAUGGAAGCAAGGUUAAAAGGAACAGUUGGGGGUAUUCAUAUUCACUAGUUAGAGGUGAAAUUCUCGGAUUUAUGGAAGAUGAACAAGUGCGAAAGCA